RNAcentral lists this ribosomal RNA (484 nucleotides) under uncultured bacterium. Its description in RNAcentral is "partial 16S ribosomal RNA". It matches the Rfam family "Bacterial small subunit ribosomal RNA", at positions 30 to 507 of the family's 1533-position model. The record is from RNAcentral.
AUUGAACGCUGGCGGCAGGCCUAACACAUGCAAGUCGAGCGGAUGAAGGGAGCUUGCUCCUGGAUUCAGCGGCGGACGGGUGAGUAAUGCCUAGGAAUCUGCCUGGUAGUGGGGGAUAACGUCCGGAAACGGACGCUAAUACCGCAUACGUCCUGAGGGAGAAAGUGGGGGAUCUUCGGACCUCACGCUAUCAGAUGAGCCUAGGUCGGAUUAGCUAGUUGGUGGGGUAAAGGCCUACCAAGGCGACGAUCCGUAACUGGUCUGAGAGGAUGAUCAGUCACACUGGAACUGAGACACGGUCCUGACUCCUACGGGAGGCAGCAGUGGGGAAUAUUGGACAAUGGGCGAAAGCCUGAUCCAGCCAUGCCGCGUGUGUGAAGAAGGUCUUCGGAUUGUAAAGCACUUUAAGUUGGGAGGAAGGGCAGUAAGUUAAUACCUUGCUGUUUUGACGUUACCAACAGAAUAAGCACCGGCUAACUUCGUG